RNAcentral lists this small nuclear RNA (100 nucleotides) under Balaenoptera musculus (blue whale). The record is from RNAcentral. Lineage: Eukaryota; Metazoa; Chordata; Mammalia; Artiodactyla; Balaenopteridae.
GUGCUCGCUUCGGCAGCACGUGUACUAAAAUUGGAACGAUACAGAGAAGAUGAGCACGGCCAGGCGUGACAUGCAAAUUUGUGAAGCGUCCCAUAUUUUA